AUUGAUUAUGACGUACUUGUACUGAUUGAGAUUUUAACACGAAGUGAGUGGCGAACGGGUGAGUAACACGUGGGUAACCUGCCCAGAAGUAGGGGAUAACACCUGGAAACAGAUGCUAAUACCGUAUAACAGAGAAAACCGCAUGGUUUUCUUUUAAAAGAUGGCUCUGCUAUCACUUCUGGAUGGACCCGCGGCGUAUUAGCUAGUUGGUGAGGUAAAGGCUCACCAAGGCAGUGAUACGUAGCCGACCUGAGAGGGUAAUCGGCCACAUUGGGACUGAGACACGGCCCAGACUCCUACGGGAGGCAGCAGUAGGGAAUCUUCCACAAUGGACGCAAGUCUGAUGGAGCAACGCCGCGUGAGUGAAGAAGGGUUUCGGCUCGUAAAGCUCUGUUGUUAAAGAAGAACGUGGGUAAGAGUAACUGUUUACCCAGUGACGGUAUUUAACCAGAAAGCCACGGCUAACUACGUGCCAGCAGCCGCGGUAAUACGUAGGUGGCAAGCGUUAUCCGGAUUUAUUGGGCGUAAAGCGAGCGCAGGCGGUCUUUUAAGUCUAAUGUGAAAGCCUUCGGCUCAACCGAAGAAGUGCAUUGGAAACUGGGAGACUUGAGUGCAGAAGAGGA
RNAcentral lists this ribosomal RNA (623 nucleotides) under Pediococcus pentosaceus. RNAcentral's name for it is "bacterial SSU rRNA". It matches the Rfam family "Bacterial small subunit ribosomal RNA", at positions 61 to 658 of the family's 1533-position model. Lineage: Bacteria; Bacillati; Bacillota; Bacilli; Lactobacillales; Lactobacillaceae. The record is from RNAcentral.